Molecule: transfer RNA, 103 nt
Organism: Trametes pubescens
Lineage: Eukaryota; Fungi; Basidiomycota; Agaricomycetes; Polyporales; Polyporaceae
Rfam family: tRNA
About the family: Transfer RNA (tRNA) molecules are approximately 80 nucleotides in length.
Source: Rfam
GGCGAGAUGGCCGAGCGGUCUAAGGCGCCAGACUAAGGCGUUGCUUCAAGUGCAGUCCGAUAUCUGGUCCGAAAGGGCGUGGGUUCGAAUCCCACUCUCGUCA